AAUCAACGCUGGCGGCGUGCCUCAGACAUGCAAGUCGAACGAUUAAAGCUCUCUUCGGAGAGUGCAUAGAGUGGCGCACGGGUGAGUAACACGUAAGUAAUCUACCUUCGAGUGGGGAAUAACGUCCGGAAACGGACGCUAAUACCGCAUAAUGCAGCGGCAUCGUAAGAUGACAGUUGUUAAAGAUUUAUCGCUUGAAGAGGAGCUUGCGGCAGAUUAGCUAGUUGGUAAGGUAACGGCUUACCAAGGCUACGAUCUGUAACCGGUCUUAGAGGACGGUCGGUCACACUGACACUGAAUAACGGGUCAGACUCCUACGGGAGGCAGCAGUCGGGAAUUUUGGGGCAAUGGGCGAAAGCCUGACCCAGCAACGCCGCGUGAAGGAUGAAGUAUUUCGGUAUGUAAACUUCGAAAGAAUAGGAAGAAUAAAUGACGGUACUAUUUAUAAGGUCCGGCUAACUACGUGCCAGCAGCCGCGGUAAU
RNAcentral lists this ribosomal RNA (483 nucleotides) under uncultured bacterium. Its description in RNAcentral is "bacterial SSU rRNA". It matches the Rfam family "Bacterial small subunit ribosomal RNA", at positions 32 to 524 of the family's 1533-position model. The record is from RNAcentral.